Non-coding RNA from Caerostris darwini, 112 nucleotides. NCBI's taxonomy places the organism in Eukaryota, Metazoa, Arthropoda, Arachnida, Araneae, Araneidae. The record is from the annotation of a GenBank genome assembly.
AACGGCCGUACCAUGCUGAAUAUACCGGUUCCCGUUAGAUCACCGAAGUCAAGCAUCAUUGGGCGCGGUCAGUACUUGGGUGGGUGACCACCUGGGAACACUGCGUGCCGUU